RNAcentral lists this ribosomal RNA (253 nucleotides) under uncultured bacterium. RNAcentral describes it as "partial 16S ribosomal RNA". It matches the Rfam family "Bacterial small subunit ribosomal RNA", at positions 524 to 776 of the family's 1533-position model. The record is from RNAcentral.
UACGGGGGGGGCAAGCGUUGUUCGGAAUUACUGGGCGUAAAGGGUUCGUAGGUGGCUUGCUUAGUCAGACGUGAAAUCCCUCAGCUUAACUGGGGAACUGCGUCUGAUACUGGCGAGCUUGAGUGCAGGAGAGGAACGCGGAAUUCCAGGUGUAGCGGUGAAAUGCGUAGAUAUCUGGAGGAACACCGGUGGCGAAGGCGGCAUCCUGGACCGGUAUUGACGCUGAGGCGCGAAAGCUAGGGGAGCAAACGGG